CUUCUAAAAAAUUGUUUAUAUGAAUGAAUAAAUAAAUAAUUCUGUUUCUUUCUCUUUUUUAAAUAAUUCUGUUUCUGAAAAAUUAAAAAAAAGAAAGUAAGCCUUUCACUUGAACACCUGUGAAUGGCCCAUGUGACCCAGUCCAGAAUAAUUUAGCAAAGACGGUUGUCUUAGACAGAAUGGCAACUCUGCUUCUUAACAGCUGAGUAUCUGAAAGCAGUGCUGAAAGAAAGCAAUUCACAGCCGGUUUCCUUUCUUCGUUUACACCUCCUUGGCCCAACUGUCUUCCCUGGUGGUGUUGGUGUGAUGUUAGAAGCAGACUCAUCUCUCUGAAUGCCAGGCUCACCACUUCUUCUGACCCAAGAAGAGUGGACUCUGUGGAAACUAAAAUAAGCCACUGUUCGACUCUCAUCUGCUGCAGGAAAUUCCACUUUGAUGCUUCCAGCUUAUUUUCUAAGAUAAAAGAAAGAGAGAGAAGGAAGAAGAAAGCUGCCACCAGGGAACUCCUGCUGCUGAAGGUCAAUGACUUUUCAAGUGGACUUACCCUGAAGCUUCUGAGAAAGAUUUUUUGUUUUUUUUUACUAAAUUGGUAUAGUGCACCCUUAAAAUUACAUAUUCACAAACAGAAGUUAGAGAAAGAUAAAUUAAAAUACACUUAUGAAUUUUUUUCUUGCUACCUGAGUUAAAUUCAGGGCUCCUUUCCUUCAGAAUGCAAAAAAGACAAGGUAACUCCACUGGUGUAAGGUUACAGAUCACUAGAUGUGAGAACGUUUCCUCUGAAAGUCUCUGCAAGAAUGAAGAUGGAAGUUGCCAUAAGACAAAUGAUUAAAAGCAUCUCCUCAUUCAGAGAAGCAGCAUGUUUAUCUCUCCAGACAUAUGACUUGUUUCCGGGGAACACAUCAAGAGACCACCUAUUGGGCUUCAAGUCUAAACCUAAUAGUUGGUCAUCAGUUUGACUUAUCUACAUCUCUCUCAGGCUGUAGUAAGACGAACCCCCAAGUUCUACAGUGAGGGCUUCUGGCCAAUCUUAUUCAUAUUGAGGCCAUAUUACGAAUCACCUGCUCCUGCACUGCUGAUGUGAGCAUUGUUCUUUCUUUAAUUAAAUCCCUUGAGUGAAAGGAUCUUUCUACUCAAACAAAUUCUGGAAUGCUCUGCAGAGGUAAGCAGAUUAAAGAAAAGAAAAAUAGGGUCAACCAAUUAUUUGUUAAGGGAGUGGAAAGAAAGCACUAUCAUGUACCUCUUUUUAAAAGAACGUGAAUCAAGGGGGUAAAAAAAUUCCUCAUAGCCCUCUGCAUUGUCUUCUCCAUGAGGCAAAAAAGCCUUUUACAUUUUUUUUCAAAGCUUUUGAAGACAGAAUCAGUGAGCUUCAUUGCAGCACAGAGACAAGAGUUUCUCAGACUGUCAAAAAAAGAAAGAAGUCAGCAUUCGUUAGUAUUAAAUUGAGCGUUUUUUCUUAUCAAAGUCAGUAUGCAUUCUCUUGUCUUUAUAAUACUGCAUUUAUUAGCUUGUCUACUUUCCUGUUAUUAACUACAUGGAAGUGCUUGCAGACCUAAAAAUUACUUUGUUUUUAUAUAAUUUGUUCUCAAUUUCUUUUUUUUCCUCGUGGAAAAUGAUUGAGGGUGUUUUGCGUUGCUCUUUUUAUAAUAAUCAUUAAUGAAAUUUAACUU
Molecule: long non-coding RNA, 1667 nt
Filed under: Canis lupus familiaris (dog)
Lineage: Eukaryota; Metazoa; Chordata; Mammalia; Carnivora; Canidae
Description: lncRNA (ENSCAFG00030023900.1)
Source: RNAcentral